AGAAUAAGUAUCAGAAUAAGUACUAAGAUCUAUUUGACCACUAAAUACUUCAAUGUGAUGCCUCAGUGUGGCCAGAGUUCAAUAGCAGAAGCAAGUAAAAAAAAAAGGAGUGAAAUGAUUCUUUAUAUUAGUCAUUUUCAACUGCCUGUUGAUAUUCAUCCGUUUUACGUUUGCUUCUGCUGGUAACUACGAAAUAAUUAUAAGUAAUACAUGACACUCGAUGAACUGACUAUACACAGAUGCUUACAAAUUAUUGAUUUUGUACCUAUGUUAUGAGUCACUAAUAGAUUUAAUAUGAUUUCAUGACAUGUGAGUCAUAGACAGGGUAGAGUAAUAAAAGAAUGUUUUCGAUACGUCAUUUUACGUUGCCAAUCCAAAUUUUCAUGGGAUCGAUAUUCCCUUUCAUUCUUCCAGGACGUAAGCUUAAUAAUAAAUAUUCAAAACCUUUGGAUGAUUAAAAUGCCUAUACACUGCCAAGAACAUAUGGGGCCUUCUGCGUAAAUUAGAAGACAUUAUUAGAAGACAUUAUAAUUUAUUAUCAUAUGAAGGAUUGGAUAUAAAAGCGAUAAAGUACAUAUUUUGUUAUUUUUCUACGAAUCAAAAUAAUGAUUGAGUUGAGUUUUCCUUUCAAUCUUACGUAUUCGAUAAAAUAAGACCCAAUCAAAUAUUACAAUCAAUGUAAUGAUUAGCGAUUAAAUUUCGGAAUUCGAAGAAAUGCAUGAAGGUAGCUAGAUUAUUUUCAGAAUACUCCAUAAAGCGUUAUGUAUUUUCAAGGUGAGCACGAAAGUUCAAAUUUAACAACUGUUAUGAGAAGUAUUCAUACAUCUAGAACUAUAUUGGACACUUCUUUAGUUAAACUGUAUUUGAAAGACAUUUGGUAGCAAGUCGAUCAGCCAACUAAAGGCUUCCAUGCAACCUUUAUUGUUCUUACUGCUUUUAUUGUUUGAAUGGACAUGGCUGUUUAUGCUAUAUCAUUCGCAAAACAUUUAUUCAUAACCUCCAGAAAAAUACACGAAAAUGGUAGAAAGAAUAAGAUGCAGAAAAAAUAAACAGCGAGCGAGGGAGGAAACGAAAUUGUAAAAAUAUACAGAACAUAAAUACAAACCAAUAAUUAUCAAAUAAACAAUAAUGAACAAGUAAAAAAAUUUCAAAA
This is a long non-coding RNA of Octopus bimaculoides (California two-spot octopus), 1153 nucleotides long. The record is from RefSeq and is a predicted model, not a curated record. Lineage: Eukaryota; Metazoa; Mollusca; Cephalopoda; Octopoda; Octopodidae.